Molecule: long non-coding RNA, 1128 nt
Organism: Silurus meridionalis
Lineage: Eukaryota; Metazoa; Chordata; Actinopteri; Siluriformes; Siluridae
Exons: 2
Source: RefSeq, a predicted model, not a curated record
UACCACGCCCCCUGGACAGAUCCUCAAAUCCUCGCACGCGCAAACUACAAACUACACCCUACAAAAACGAGUACAUGUGGAUUACGGUGGCCCACUGGAGCCAAAAAACCACCCACAACCCUUUCUAGUGGUAUCAAGGGUGAAUAUAAUGGAUUGAUCACCAGACUAAACACCUCCAGGGAGAUUUUAGGAUCAGCACUGUGGGAGAACUCCAUUCUCUUCUGUGGGAUUAGUACAGACAGGAUAACCAUCACCAUGCACAUCAAUGAACCCAGGGCACUCAUGACCUUAUUAUCAGUUGUCCUUCAUUAAACCAUGUUUGGUGUGUACUAACAACAGCCUGGCCCAGUCAUCUACUUUAAUUACAAUUUGUCCCCCUGUAGCCACUUGCAAGCCUCCUGCUUGAACUGACCCACCCCAUGGCAGGUACCAUUACAAGAUAAUCAAUGCUAUUCACAUCACCUGUCAGUCGCCUUAAUAUUAUGAUGGAUUAAUUUGUAUAUUAUUCUAAACAUCAAUAACCAACCACACAAAUAAAUAGCAGGACAAACCUUUGUACUAAAAUGAGUUUAUUACAGCCAAUCCUCUCUCCAUUACUCCUCCAUCAAGACAAUACAGUACAAGCAAAAUUGUUCAAUAAACCCUAAAUGUUUUUUUUUUCUCUGAUUUAUGAAUACUUUAAUAUAAUCUCAAGCCAUUAUCUUUUAGACAUUCAGUAACAUGUUUCACAAUCUAUACAUUUGGAUACAGAUUACACAUGAAUUGUAGUGGUGAUGCUCAACCAGAGAACAAUGAAUACUGACAUUAAUCUUUACAGAAAUGUACCAUUUCUUCCUUUAUGAGCCCCUUUAUCCAUUUUAUUUCUUCCACAUUGGCAAUAGAGUGCAAUAUUCUGUAAAAUAACCACUGCUGAAUUCACUGGAGAAGAGACUCUGCAGUAGUGACUAAGAUUGGCUGCUGUGAGAUGGCACAGUGUUUUAUUGGAGGUUUAACCUCCAACACCUAGAAAACAUAAAACAAAUAUAUUUAUACAGUUGACACCAGUAUUAUGUCAGUAUUAUAUAUCAGUAUUACACAUCCCCUAAAUUUAGUCAGUAGGACAAAAGUAAAAAAAAAAAAAAAAAAAAA